AUUGAACGCUGGCGGCAUGCCUUACACAUGCAAGUCGAACGGCAGCACGGGGCAACCUGGUGGCGAGUGGCGAACGGGUGAGUAAUGCAUCGGAACGUGCCAUUGAGUGGGGGAUAACGUAGCGAAAGUUGCGCUAAUACCGCAUAUUCUGUGAGCAGGAAGCAGGGGACCGCAAGGCCUUGCGCUCUUUGAGCGGCCGAUGUCAGAUUAGCUAGUUGGUGAGGUAACGGCUUACCAAGGCGACGAUCUGUAGCGGGUCUGAGAGGAUGAUCCGCCACACUGGAACUGAGACACGGUCCAGACUCCUACGGGAGGCAGCAGUGGGGAAUUUUGGACAAUGGGCGCAAGCCUGAUCCAGCCAUGCCGCGUGAGUGAAGAAGGCCUGGUUGUAAGCUCUUUCGGCCGGAAGGAAAUCGCAUGGGUUAAUACCCUGUGUGGAUGACGGUACCGGAA
This 453-nucleotide ribosomal RNA is filed under the name uncultured bacterium. Its description in RNAcentral is "bacterial SSU rRNA". It matches the Rfam family "Bacterial small subunit ribosomal RNA", at positions 30 to 483 of the family's 1533-position model. The record is from RNAcentral.